Long non-coding RNA from Polyodon spathula (Mississippi paddlefish), 1949 nucleotides. RefSeq lists it as uncharacterized. The transcript has 3 exons. The record is from RefSeq and is a predicted model, not a curated record. Lineage: Eukaryota; Metazoa; Chordata; Actinopteri; Acipenseriformes; Polyodontidae.
UAGAAUAAAAUGAUGAAGUUACUGUACAACAAAGCAAAUGAGUAACUGAAGAAGUGAAUUAAUUUAGUGACUGAUAUCUUUGAAUGUGGUUCAGUAGAGCUUAGUAGAGUUAUCGGUGCUACUAAGAAGUUCUGCUAAGCAAAGUAGCUCAUACACCAAACAGCCCUUAGUAAAUGGCUUAACGUUUAGUAGUAGUAAAUGUUUAAACUUCCACCCCUAAUGGCCUUUUUGGAGUCCUCAGUUUGUGAUAACUCUAAUACCAUAACCCUGCUAUCUUAUUGGUGCAUCUGGAUAAUGCACUCUCUCUCUCUUUUAUCUUUUCCAGAUGGCCCAUAUUUGGCUGAGUUUCUGCUGGAAAAGAACUACGAGGUUCGAAUCAUCAACUAAGGAGGACAGCAACUAGCCAACAUCCCACAGCAAGGAACACAGGCGAUAAAUUCUUAUUAACUGUGAAGUGUCAACAGGCGACUCGAUGACCUUUUGCAUCUGCUUUGUGACAGCAUUUUGAGUUACUUUGGAAAUCUCGACAGGCUCCAACAAUCAGGUUGAGCGCACAAUGAAAGAGGCAAAAAAGUAAAUCCUUCUGAAAGCAAAAUAAAUGCUUCCUAAUAAUUGGCAGGAAAAGAUUACCCGGGUUACAGAAAUUCACAGCCAAACUAACCUUGAUGUGAAAUAUACUGCAAUUCUUCAUUAACAGAUCUGUAACUGUCCAGUAGCAGCCCUUGGAAAGCAAUGUAAAUAUCUACAAUUACAUACAAUGAUUGGUAAAAAAGAGGAUUCUGAAGCAGUUGAUAAGUUAUGUCAACAGGCAGCAACAUUUUAAAAUGUGAAAGUUUUGUUUAACAUGAAGCCCACCUGACAGUGAGUAGUCCUUUUAGUGGAUUACAAAGUGCUGUUAAUGCAUGUUCUGGACAGUGCAGUUGCCCUGCAAAUAGUUUUAGUUGCACAUGUGCUUGUCAGUAUUUGUGCAAGCUUCUAAAACCACAUGUAGGUCUGCCUCAAACGCUUUGCAUUACAACCAGUAGUGAUCCAGCUGUCACUUCAGCUGACAAACAUUCUGUAGAAUGUAGCUACAUCACAGGCAAAUGUUCCAGAAUUAUUGAAGAGCUUUACCACUAUAGUAAAUCGAAUCAAUUUCAUGCAGAUAAUGCAUUAUAUGCUAGCCUAAAGCAAGCACACAUCUCCUCCUGGGCUCAUAUAUCCCUAAAGGGCGAAAACAGAAAUUUAUGCCGUUACAUUACAGGAAAUCUGUCAAAAGAGCACAUGCAACAUCAAUUAGAGCUUUUGAACACAAUUACACUCUAACACCAAAUAAUUAUGGACCUUUGCAUAACUCAAAAAAUAAAGACCAAGACUACAUUACUAAUGCUAGGAAGCGACAGGUGAGAAGAAGAGUUUCAAGGGUAAAACUGUAUUAGGGUUUAGAUGCUGGGAGCAGCUAAAGACUUUAUAAAUAAUGGACUAAACAGAAAAUGAAAUGUAAAAAAAAGGUAUAUAUUUGUGUGCAUACAUAAUUGUUGUAAAGUUUGUGUGCUGAGUUCCCUAACCUCUGUACUUACCUUUGUGUGUCCACCCUCACUGGGACAGCUUGUCCACCUUGUGACUCCUCUCCCUUAGAUCUGUUUGGUUAAAUCCUUAUAAGGACUAUUGUAAUUGCAUUAAUCUAUAAUAAUGUUCCCUUUGACUUAAUAAUUUGCUUCAGUGGUGUCUUUGCUAGAGCUCACGUUGCAGUUUAAGACUAAAAUGGCUAGAGUAUGUUCAACCUUUUAACACAGACAUCCUAAACUCUUAUUGUCUAUGAACUGAAUUGCUUUAAAUUGGUCUUUUCAUUAUAUUUGCAUUAUUAUCGUUAUGUCUUGAAAUUGGUUGUACCUGUCUAAAGAGAUGUUAGAAGAAAAACAAAAAAUCUGUGCAUUCUUCUUCUUCUUCUUCUUCUUCUUCUUCUUCUU